AUUCCAGCUCCAAUAGCGUAUAUUAAAGUUGUUGCAGUUAAAAAGCUCGUAGUUGGAUUUUGGAUUGUGUUUAAUGGUCUGCCGUGAGGUAUGCACUGUUAGGCGCUUUCUUCUUGUCAAAGACUGUGUGUGCUCUUAAUUGAGUGUGCUCAGGGUUUGGCACUUUUACUGUGAGAAAAUUAGAGUGUUUAAAGCAGGCGUUUGCUUGAAUAUUGCAGCAUGGAAUAAUGGAAUAGGAUCACGAUCUUAUUUUGUUGGUUUCUAGGAUCGAGAUAAUGAUUAAUAGGGAUAGUUGGGGACAUUAAUAUUUAAUUGUCAGAGGUGAAAUUCUUGGAUUUAUGAAAGAUUAACUUCUGCGAAAGCAUUUGUCAAGGAUGUUUUCAUUA
This 386-nucleotide ribosomal RNA is filed under the name Pseudoperkinsus sp. RNAcentral's name for it is "partial small subunit ribosomal RNA". It matches the Rfam family "Eukaryotic small subunit ribosomal RNA", at positions 582 to 975 of the family's 1831-position model. Lineage: Eukaryota; Ichthyosporea; Ichthyophonida. The record is from RNAcentral.